Papilio polytes (common Mormon) is the source of this 1109-nucleotide RNA transcript. It is a transcript of the gene named leptin receptor gene-related protein-like, with no coding region annotated. The record is from RefSeq and is a predicted model, not a curated record. Lineage: Eukaryota; Metazoa; Arthropoda; Insecta; Lepidoptera; Papilionidae. The transcript has 4 exons.
UGAUUUUUUAUAUAUUGGAAUUGCAUUUCAUUCAUUUGUGAUUAAUUUUAAUUCUUGUAGUUUAAAAAUAUCUUAGUUUUGUUAUUAAGUACAAUGGCUGGAAUCAAAGAUUGUUAACCUUGGCAUUUACAAGCUCCGUUGGUGUGACGCUAGUUAUAAUAGCAAGUGCUCUGCCUCAGUAUAAAUCAUGGUUUCCAUUUCUCGGGCUGAUUUUCAACCUUAUAUGUCCAAUCCCAACAAUUAUUGCCCGUCGCCGCACAGACAGUGUGGGAGGCAUCAGCAGUGCUUGUAUGGAGUCUGCAAUUUUCAUCACCAUGGGCAUCGUUGUUAGCUCUUUUGCGUAUCCCAUUGUGCUGGCACGAGCUGGUUUGAUAAUGUGGCCCGCUAGCUACCUGACAUUGGUGGGCAAUGUUAUCGUAUAUUUGGCUAUCAUCGGUUUCUACAUUGUUUUCGAAAUGGAGGAUACAGAUUAUACAAUGUGGUGAAGAUCAAACCUUAUUUAUUGGAUCGAAACAGAUACUCUUUAAGCUGAUUUUUGUAUAAUGUUUUGUCUACAUAAGUCUGAAAUUAAGAUACUGAUUUUGUUUUUUAAAAUUGAUAUUAAGUGUACCCAAUGCCUAAAAAUGUGGUUAAAGAUGCAUAAAAAUUGUUUUUAUUAAAAUGCUUGUGCUAAAUGUUGAGGUAUGCUUAAAUUAAAUUUGAUAAAAACUGUAAAAUCUGAAUUUUGAUGUAGAUGUAACUUGUUUUAUUUUACCUUAGAAUAUGUUAAUUUUUUUAUAGUAGAACCUUAAAUAAUUUAUAACUGAAACUCAUUUUAACAUGUAUCUAACAUUUUUCCUUUUGUUUAUCCUCAAGUUGUAGAUCAUAGGUUUAGUUAAUGUUUCGAAGUACAUACUUCAUAUAAAAGUGUUUAUUUUUAUAGGUAUAUAGUAUUAUAUUACAAGCUAUUAUAAUAGAUAUGUUAUAAUUUGAAAAUUAUUAAUGCUGUAUUCAAAAUAUGUGUCAAUUCAAAUUUUACCCAACAUUGUAAUGUAACCUUUCAUUACUAAAAGUAGACUAUGUAUAUAUGUAUUUUAUAUUGCAACAAAGAUUAAAAACAUUUUUUGGUA